GUUCCAAUGAGGAAGAAUUCCCCAAUAAAGAUAGGAAGUGCCGUAUGACACAUUAAACAGCAGCGGAUUACGGCUGCGCGUCGUCUCAUCCACCAAUUGGCAGGUCCUCCGAUCCUAACCCGAUCUUAUGGGUUUGUUCUUUGGUCGAGAUUCGUGAUUUUGCCGUUUCCGUUGUGUGGGUGAUUUGGAACGGGUCUCUGAGGAAU
Small nucleolar RNA from Lactuca sativa (garden lettuce), 206 nucleotides. RefSeq annotates it as small nucleolar RNA Z112. The record is from RefSeq and is a predicted model, not a curated record. Lineage: Eukaryota; Viridiplantae; Streptophyta; Magnoliopsida; Asterales; Asteraceae.